This 253-nucleotide ribosomal RNA is filed under the name uncultured bacterium. Its description in RNAcentral is "partial 16S ribosomal RNA". It matches the Rfam family "Bacterial small subunit ribosomal RNA", at positions 524 to 776 of the family's 1533-position model. The record is from RNAcentral.
UACGGAGGGAGCUAGCGUUGUUCGGAAUUACUGGGCGUAAAGCGCGCGUAGGCGGCUUUGUAAGUUAGAGGUGAAAGCCCAGGGCUUAACCCUGGAAUUGCCUUUAAGACUGCAUCGCUAGAAUCGUGGAGAGGUGAGUGGAAUUCCGAGUGUAGAGGUGAAAUUCGUAGAUAUUCGGAAGAACACCAGUGGCGAAGGCGACUCACUGGACACGUAUUGACGCUGAGGUGCGAAAGCGUGGGGAGCAAACAGG